AUUUUGUACAAUGUGCUAAAUGGAAAUUGCAUUGGAUUAUUUUAUAUUUAACACAUUCCAUCAAAACACUUUCUGUAAAAUUAUCCUACAAUCUGCAUGUGGGUUUAACUGUGAAAUUCAGUGUUGUGAUAGUUCAAUGAAGUGAAUUCUUUCUCUGAAAAUACUAUGUUGAUAAAAUUAUUUAUGUGUUCAACUGAACUGAU
This 203-nucleotide long non-coding RNA is filed under the name Bos taurus (domestic cattle). Its description in RNAcentral is "long non-coding RNA NONBTAT018603". Lineage: Eukaryota; Metazoa; Chordata; Mammalia; Artiodactyla; Bovidae. The record is from RNAcentral.